AAACUUGGCAAUGCGAGAAAUCGUGACCAGGGAACUCCAAGUGCAUCGGGUAAGACCGGUGCUUUUCUUGACUCUAAAUAGGUCUUGGAAUAAGGGGUGGGUAAGGACGGUG
Molecule: ribosomal RNA, 112 nt
Filed under: uncultured euryarchaeote
Lineage: Archaea; Methanobacteriati; Methanobacteriota
Description: partial 16S ribosomal RNA
Rfam family: Archaeal small subunit ribosomal RNA
Source: RNAcentral